Molecule: ribosomal RNA, 459 nt
Filed under: uncultured bacterium
Lineage: Bacteria
Description: partial 16S ribosomal RNA
Rfam family: Bacterial small subunit ribosomal RNA
Source: RNAcentral
CUACGGGAGGCAGCAGUAAGGAAUAUUGGUCAAUGGACGCAAGUCUGAACCAGCCAUGCCGCGUGAAGGAUUAAGGUCCUCUGGAUUGUAAACUUCUUUUAUUUGGGACGAAAAAGGGUCUUUCUAGAUCAACUGACGGUACCAGAUGAAUAAGCACCGGCUAACUCCGUGCCAGCAGCCGCGGUAAUACGGAGGGUGCAAACGUUAUCCGGAUUCACUGGGUUUAAAGGGUGCGUAGGCGGGUAGGUAAGUCAGUGGUGAAAUCCUAGAGCUUAACUCUAGAACUGCCAUUGAUACUAUCUAUCUUGAAUAUUGUGGAGGUAAGCGGAAUAUGUCAUGUAGCGGUGAAAUGCUUAGAUAUGACAUAGAACACCUAUUGCGAAGGCAGCUUACUACGCAUAUAUUGACGCUGAGGCACGAAAGCGUGGGGAUCAAACAGGAUUAGAUACCCGGGUAGUC